RNAcentral lists this unclassified non-coding RNA (179 nucleotides) under uncultured Capronia. RNAcentral's name for it is "sequence contains ITS2". The record is from RNAcentral. Lineage: Eukaryota; Fungi; Ascomycota; Eurotiomycetes; Chaetothyriales; Herpotrichiellaceae.
UCACCUCUCAAGCCCCUCGGGUUUGGCCUUGGAGGUCGGUUGGGCUUCGCCCGACCCCUCCCAAAGACAAUGACGGCGGCUUUGUCUGACCCCCGGUACACUGAGCUUCUUAACCGAGCACGUACCGGAACGAGGGUCGGCGGGUCACGGUCUCCUCCCUUUGCAGGGAAAUUUUCUCA